UGGGGUGUGGCUCAGUGGUAGAGUGCUUGCCUAGCAUACGUGAAGCCCUGAGUUCAAACCUCAGCACCACAU
Molecule: non-coding RNA, 72 nt
Organism: Ictidomys tridecemlineatus (thirteen-lined ground squirrel)
Lineage: Eukaryota; Metazoa; Chordata; Mammalia; Rodentia; Sciuridae
Source: Rfam